UCCGUAGGCGGACUAAUAAGUCAGUGGUGAAAUCUUUCGGCUCAACCGAGAAACUGCCAUUGAUACUGUUAGUCUUGAGUUCGGUUGAGGUAGGCGGAAUGUGUAAUGUAGCGGUGAAAUGCUUAGAUAUUACACAGAACACCAAUUGCGUAGGCAGCUUACUAGACCGACACUGACGCUGAGGCACGAAAGCGUGGGGAGCGAACAGGAUUAGAUACCCUGGUAGUCC
This 229-nucleotide ribosomal RNA is filed under the name uncultured bacterium. RNAcentral describes it as "partial 16S ribosomal RNA". It matches the Rfam family "Bacterial small subunit ribosomal RNA", at positions 568 to 796 of the family's 1533-position model. The record is from RNAcentral.